This 253-nucleotide ribosomal RNA is filed under the name uncultured bacterium. RNAcentral's name for it is "partial 16S ribosomal RNA". It matches the Rfam family "Bacterial small subunit ribosomal RNA", at positions 524 to 776 of the family's 1533-position model. The record is from RNAcentral.
UACGAAGGGGGCUAGCGUUGUUCGGAUUUACUGGGCGUAAAGCGCACGUAGGCGGAUCGUUAAGUCAGGGGUGAAAUCCUGGAGCUCAACUCCAGAACUGCCUUUGAUACUGGCGAUCUCGAGUCCGGAAGAGGUGAGUGGAACUCCUAGUGUAGAGGUGGAAUUCGUAGAUAUUAGGAAGAACACCAGUGGCGAAGGCGGCUCACUGGUCCGGAACUGACGCUGAGGUGCGAAAGCGUGGGGAGCAAACAGG